Molecule: long non-coding RNA, 1074 nt
Organism: Amphiprion ocellaris (clown anemonefish)
Lineage: Eukaryota; Metazoa; Chordata; Actinopteri; Pomacentridae
Exons: 3
Source: RefSeq, a predicted model, not a curated record
CUUUCGCUCGUCCCCCCUUUCAUCACAGUGUUCUAACUUGCUCUCAUCUGUUUUUGACACUGAAAUUGAAAAAAAAAAAAUCAAUGUACAAACAUUGCCUGUGAAAGGUAUCAGAUGACCUUUUAUCCCUGAACCUUUUUUAAAAUUUUUUCUUUAUGCUAACUAUUUGAUGUCAAAGUGUUACAUUUUUUUGUAGUCUUCCUUUCAUCUUUUUGUUUCGGAGGAAUUGCUUUCACCGACCCCUGGACGGCGUAUCUGGAAAGUGGCUGAGUGGAAUAUGGGAGCAAAAGGACAAGAAAGACAGGAAAGACUCUCAGGGAGGAGAGACUCCGCCUGCAGCGACCGCUUCACUCUGCAUGGGCCACCAUCCCUAUCUGGAUCACCUUUACUACGGUCUUCAUCCAGAUUAUCCUCUUCUCUACUUCCUCCUUCUCCACUCGGACCAGACUUGCCCCUCAAAUGCUUUGCUAAAGCUGGUAAAAUGGAACCAAAUCAACUGUUCAAUGGAUUUGGUCCCCUUCAACCAGCUGUAGCUGUGCAUUGAUCACUCCGAACAUCUGAACACACACUUGCAGAGGGAAAAACAAAUGGACAGAGAAGCGGCGGAAAGACUCGAGCUAAUUCAGUGGAAAACAGCUUUAAAAUCUAAAACUGAGGCUACAUUUGCUUCUUUAUUGGACUGAGACACAGAAAGUCAUCCAUGGAUAAUACACAGCAUGCACCAGUUACUGCGUGGAUUUAUCUCUAUCACACAGAUUACCCAAAAGACACUGAAGUCAUUUGUUUAAUCUGAAUAAAACAAGUCAGGUAAGUAAUUAUAGAUACUGUAUCUUGGUAAAUUUGUACUUUUAUUGUGUACUGCUAUAAUUGCAUCGUCCUUUGGAGACUAUUUUUUUAUUAUUCUUUGCAGAUUUUUUUUUUUUAAAAGUGCGUAUGUUUGCUGAACAGUGUAAAAACUGAUGCAGUGUAAGAAAAGCACUGGUGCGUAUGUGAGGGUGCAUGCAUGUAUGUGUGUGUCACCAACUGCUAAUGCACACGUCUGAUCAAUAAAACCUAAUGUGAAGUUCAUAUAAA